Molecule: long non-coding RNA, 1089 nt
Organism: Wasmannia auropunctata (little fire ant)
Lineage: Eukaryota; Metazoa; Arthropoda; Insecta; Hymenoptera; Formicidae
Exons: 6
Source: RefSeq, a predicted model, not a curated record
ACGUUGCACACGUCUUUUCGCAAUGGCGUCUCUGCCGCACUACGCGCGUCUUGGCGAUUCUCGCGGCCUUCGUGAGCGUUCAGCCCGGUCACAAUUGCGUGAGCAUUGAGAAUAUUUGUAUAGUAUCUACGCGUUAAAUUCUUCCGAUCCGAUUUCGAAGACCUUAAUCACAAGCGGAAUCGGCUUUAGCACGGUUUCACCGUGAAACUUUGCUCGGCAUACGCGGACGCGACGCGACGCGACGCGUUCAAAAUUCGCCGGGGACGCGAGGCCCGCGAGACGAGUUUUUAGCCUGGUCUACAAUUAUGUAAACGUUGUUGGACGCCAUAUAUUUUGUGACCACGCAGAUUCAUGAGUCAUGACUACGCAGUAGGAAGACCUGAGAGCUGAGACCCUUCGCAUGCGUGUACCGGCGUGCUGCCUCGUGGCUGAAAUUAACUGCGACUCUUGAAAUUAAGAGCUGGCAUCUUCUCUGGAGGGAUACGGAUUGGUUCUAGAGUUCCUGAAAGAUAUGUGAAUUUCUGAAACUGGAUGUUGCAAUGAGCAGAACAUACUGCAAUACACUAACUGGUAUAGCUUUGAGUGUAUUUAGUUAGUGUACAACGACUGUCUCGUGCUAGCCAACAAUUCCUGCGGGACUAUAUUCGCGCUCUAUCGAGAGACGACGAGGGCGACACGGAGAAAUGGAAGCACGAGCCCGUGGAACGACGGAGAGAUAACGCCACGAGAGCUUGGAACUCUCCAACACCUCGAAUGUCGAAUGGUCGUCAGCGGCGGCGGUGGCGGCGGCGUGAAAUAUUCAGGUCAGCGACGAGAACGUCGACGAUCUUGGCGGACUUCGCCCCGUCGAUCGAUCUGUCGACUCGCAACGCGAAUACGCGACAAAUAACACACGGAGCCAGGUGAAGUAAAAAUCUCGGAUUUAUCUUUGUGACAUGCGCCACGUCCAAUCCGAUCCUCAAGCUACGUUAUCAAUAAUACAAAUGCACGCGCGGGCAAUCUCGUAUCUUUGCGUUUAGCUUUAAUCAGUCGUAACUGGAUGAUGGCGAAUAAUGGACAUGUAUUAUGGAACGCAACAAGAGUAAAAAU